AAGAGGGCGGUUGACGCACAUAGAUUAAGGAUUGGGUCUUGGAACAUAGGCACUCUGACGGGUAACUCUAUUGAGUUUGCAAAGGUUCUUCAGCAGAGAAGGGUUAACAUAGCGUGCGUCCAGGAGACUAGGUGGAAAGGGACAAAGGCGCGGGAUGCUGAUGGGUAUAAGCUGUGGUACACUGGGCUCGAGAGGGGUAAGAAUGGAGUGGGAAUCUUGGUUGAUAGGGACCUAAGGGAGUCCGUGGUUGAGGUUAGGCGAGUGACGCGGGAUGUUGAUGGGUAUAAGCUGUGGUACACUGGGCUCGAGAGGGGUAAGAAUGGAGUGGGAAUCUUUGGUUGAUAGGGACCUAAGGGAGUCCGUGGUUGAGGUUAGGCGAGUGAAUGAUAGGUUAAUGUCUAUUAAGCUGGUUAUUGGGGGCGGAGUCCUCAACGUCGUCAGCGCUUACGCGCCGCACGCAGGCUUAGACGAGGAGGCUAAAAGGCGCUUUUGGGAGGACUUGGAUGAGCUGGUGGGGAGUAUCCCCCAGUCUGAGAAGUUAGUUAUUGGAGGGGACUUUAAUGGUCAUAUUGGGGCUGAGGCUGGUGGAUAUGAUGAGGUGCACGGGGGCUUUGGCUUUGGUGNNNN
This 627-nucleotide long non-coding RNA is filed under the name Nicotiana benthamiana. RNAcentral describes it as "long non-coding RNA (NBEN_LNC039542)". The record is from RNAcentral. Lineage: Eukaryota; Viridiplantae; Streptophyta; Magnoliopsida; Solanales; Solanaceae.